UCCAACUUAUCGUUGGCGGUCUCCUGCGAGUUGCGCUUUGAUGUAAUCGCGGCAUGCCAGCACAGGACAGGGGUUGCGCUCGUUGCGCCACUUAAGGCAACACCUCACGGCACGAACUGACGACAGCCAUGCACCACCUGUGCAGGCUCCGAAGAGCGCCCGCUUUCACGGGUUUCACCCUGCAUGUCAAGCCCAGGUAAGGUUCUUCGCGUCGCAUCGAAUUAAGCAACAUGCUCCGCCGCUUGUGCGGGGCCCCGUCAAUUCCUUUGAGUUUUAACCUUGCGGCCGUAGUCCCCAGGCGGGGCACUUAAUGCGUUAGCUGCGGCACCGCAGGGGUCAAUACCCGCGACACCUAGUGCCCAUCGUUUACAGCGUGGACUAC
This 382-nucleotide unclassified non-coding RNA is filed under the name uncultured Actinomycetes bacterium. Its description in RNAcentral is "uncultured actinobacterium contains 16S-23S intergenic spacer region". The record is from RNAcentral. Lineage: Bacteria; Bacillati; Actinomycetota; Actinomycetes.